This 3228-nucleotide long non-coding RNA is filed under the name Xyrichtys novacula (pearly razorfish). The record is from RNAcentral. Lineage: Eukaryota; Metazoa; Chordata; Actinopteri; Labriformes; Labridae.
CUUUGCGAUCUGCAGCCUUGUCGGUCUUAUUUUCAUGUUAACACCAUGAAUGUCUUGGAUGAGUGGCUGUGGAAACGUUAUUCCUGUCCUCACUUUGCCAUGCAAACAUCAACAGCUAACCCCUAUAGACCCUCAAGGUCUAUAAAGAAUAAAGUUAGAGCAAAAUUACACCUUGAAGUGAUAAAUUGAAAGUCAAAAUACAGUUUGGCGAAGAAAAAGUCAUGUCAACUUUGAUACAGUCCAAAUAGAGCUGAAAUCUGAUGGUGUGUCUCAGGAGCCAACUAGAGAUACAGAUGUGGGAUUUUUCUAAUGUGCUGGUUAGGCCUGUCACGAUAACAAAUUUUGCUGGACGAUAAUUGUGCUACAAAUUAUUGCCGAUAAACGAUAUUAUUGACACCGUUUUUUAAAUUGUAGAUAAUGAUAUUAAAUGGCAUAAUAAUGCGAGUACACCGUGUCAAAAGUGAUAAACUUUAAUUUCACCCACGACGAAGACGUAACGUUGACGAGCUAAACAUAAGUCGGAGAUGACUAAAAUGUGACGAGACGAAAGUGCGUUUACGUUGAUGGGACGAGACGAAAAUGACGAACAGAGUUGCAAAACUCAGUCAGUUAAACGCUAAACAUAUAGGAGCAGCUUCAGUCCGCUCUGUUAGCUCUCAUCACCCUGCUGUGCUCCUCCAACACAGACACACACGCGCGCGCACACACACGUGGAGUUUUGUGGUUGACGAAAACAAAACUGGUUUAAAGCCGAAAUAUUCCCACACUUGGGCUGUUGCGUUCGGUUUAGACACCAAAGCUGUCGUGUUCAUUCUGUUUGCUUGCUUUUCACUCACGACGCUCACUUGCAGCACUGUAUCCAAAAGUCUGUGUCUGUGUGCCUGUGCGCGCCAGCCCCCUCGUGACAAAGACACUGAAUUACUGACAGGAGGGUUCACUAACUCCGUUCAUUCCGCUAUAGAGCCAACGCCCCCAGGUGCCGAGAACAAUGCGCAGAGUGAGACCUCUUCUCUCAACCAGCGUGUUUGGUAGCGAGAGAGGAGGAAAACAAACGCACGUCAAUUAUCGAGGCUGGCAAAAUGACCGACCUCGUUUUUAUUUAUCGAGCGAUAAGGCGAUUUAUUGAUUAUCGCGACAGGCCUAGUGCUGGUAAUGCAUCAGAAAUAGUUGACAUAACUUGAAUUCAAAAAUUAAAGUUUAUUCACUACAAAAUUUUAUGAGAGGGCUCAACACCAAUAAACACUGUAAUCCCAUGCUCAGUUUUUCAGCAUUUAAUUAGCUUUAUUUCAAGUUCAACCGUCUGCACACUGUUGACUGGUGUUUUAAAACACAUACAUCUCAUUUUUUUUUGCGUAUACUUACAUCCUCCCCUUAGCUUUGUGCUAAGUUUUCAGCUGCUUAAUAAAAAUGUUCCUCAAGCUUCUAUAAAAAUAUGAACACUAAGCUUUGUUCAUGCUUUAAGUCUAUGUAAUUCUAACAACUUCCAAAGGGCGUCCAUUUUCACAACUUUGAGAAACAUCUGCACUCACAUCUGCACACACACACACACGCACGCACGCACGCACACACACACGCAUACAGGCUUACCUGACCAACAGUGGACUUCUAUUUCUGGUCAUUUUAAUAAAACAAAAAUAUGAUAGAAAGUUUUCUUUUAAGGUCUUUUGUCAUAAUGUUACUUGAAAUGUGACUUUUAUCUUUUUUUUUUUUAAUUGCCAAGAGGGUUCCUGGAUCCUUGAGUGAGAUCUACCUGUCUAACCGGGGACCUCCAUAUAAGGCAGUGGAGCUGUCUGAACCCACUCACUCUGCUGAUGAGAGCUUGUUUACCACAAUGACUUUCUUUGUUUCUUUCAAGAAUGGCUGAUUUAACUUAGGAGAAAAACAUUUCCCAUUCUUUGGCAGAUUUCUUAAGUUUAGUUUAGUUUAGUUCAGUUUAGUUUAGUUUAUUGUUUAUUUAGAUGGGACAGUGAACAUUCAUUGGUCUGUUCACAAUACAGAGCACUGUAAUCUUGAUUGCUAGAAAUAAUAUACAGUAUACAAUAUGAUAAAAAUACUAGGAAAAGUGCUAAAUUAAUCAGGAGUUAGCUAAAAAGAGCAGCAAAUGUGGAGCCCUAAUAGCUAAUGGCAGUUUGUUCCAGCUGGCACAGCCUUUGAUGGACCAGGUAUUUUGUGCUAGAACUGCUUAUCUAAAUUUUAAACUUCAAGAUUCCCUCUCCUCAUAACAGUUUUACUAUAUACUUUUAAACACUUAGAUUUUCAUUCACCAUUAUACAGUAGUUCUUUGUUUGAAACUCUGUGAUAAACUGUAAGUAAAUACUGAGUCCCCUCUUUGUCUGAACAAAAUGACAAAGGUGCUCUGUUGAAUGGUAUGGAGUGAUGCUCACUCCCAGAGUGUAACUGACACUCCUAGAGUUUCAGCGUAAUGACUGACUCACAUCCUCAAACAAAAACCUGACUGAGAUGUGCUACGCAACUUUAUCCCUCGUCAUUUAUGUAUCCUGUUGCUGCAGUGUUUUAAAAAAUCCUUUUGGUACUAAUUUAGUGGGUGUAUAUAUGGAUAAAAGGUAAUAAUAAUAAUAAUAAUAAUAAUACAUUUUAUUUGAAGCGCCUUUCACGUCACUCAAGGACACUUUACAGAACAUAUAAAACAAUAAUAAAACACUAUUAACAAUUAAAAUCAUCAAUCAUCAAAACAGUUAAAAUCAACAAAGCAACAUUAAAACAUGAACAACAGCAAAGGAAUAAAUAAAGAAAUGAAUAAUAGCAAUUGAAAUUUAAUUUAGAAAAGUGAGUUAGGGGUGGUGGGAGGGAUAGGCCAGUUUAAACAGGUGUGUCUUGAGUUUGGACUUGAAGAGGGGGAGGGAGUCUAUGUUGCGGAUGUGUGAUGGUAAAGAUUUCCAGAGUCGGGGUGCAGAGUGACUGAAAGCUCUGCCCCCCAUGGUGCUGAGGUGAACAGGGGGCACAGUGAGGUGGAGAGAGGAAGAGGACCGGAGGCGGCGUGAUGGAGUGGCGAUGUGGAGGAGGUCAGACAGAUAAGGAGGGGCGAGGUUGUGGAUGGCUUUAAAGGUAUACAGUAGGAUUUUGAACUGGACUUGAAAUGGGACUGGGAGCCAGUGGAGCUGCUGUAUGAUUGGGGUGAUGUGGUGGGACGAAGGGGUUUUGGUGAUGAUCCGGGCAGCGGAGUUGUGGACCAGUUGAAGUUUAUGGAGAGACGUGUGAGGGAGACCG